ACAAAGCAGACUGCCCACAAAUCCACCCAUGGUAAAGCACCCAGGAAACAACUGGCUACAAAAGCUGCUCACAAGAGUGCACCCUCUACUGGAGGGGUGAAGAAACCUCAUAGUUACAGGCCUGGUUCUGUGGCACUCUGAAAUCAGACUCUAUCAGAAGUCCACUGAACUUCUGACUCACAAGCUCCCCUUUCAGCUUCUGGUGCAAGAAAUUGCUCAGGACUUCAAAACAGAUCUGUGCUUCCAGAGUGCAGCUAUUGGUGCUUUGCAGGAGGCAAGUGAUGCCUAUCUGGUUGGUCUUUUUGAAGAUACCAGCCUGUGGGUGGGCUAUCCAUGCCAAACGUGUAACAAUUAUGCCAAAAGAUAUCCAGCUAGCAUACCGCAUACACGAAGAACAUGCUUA
RNAcentral lists this long non-coding RNA (403 nucleotides) under Mus musculus (house mouse). Its description in RNAcentral is "long non-coding RNA chr6:148261149-148261552". Lineage: Eukaryota; Metazoa; Chordata; Mammalia; Rodentia; Muridae. The record is from RNAcentral.